This 466-nucleotide ribosomal RNA is filed under the name uncultured bacterium. RNAcentral describes it as "bacterial SSU rRNA". It matches the Rfam family "Bacterial small subunit ribosomal RNA", at positions 337 to 795 of the family's 1533-position model. The record is from RNAcentral.
CCCUACGGGAGGCUGCAGUGGGGAAUUUUGGACAAUGGGGGCAACCCUGAUCCAGCCAUGCCGCGUGCGGGAAGAAGGCCUUCGGGUUGUAAACCGCUUUUAGUCGGGAAGAAAAGGCGCGGCCUAAUACGUCGCGUUCUUGACGGUACCGGCGGAAUAAGCACCGGCUAACUACGUGCCAGCAGCCGCGGUAAUACGUAGGGUGCGAGCGUUAAUCGGAAUUACUGGGCGUAAAGCGUGCGCAGGCGGUUCGUUAAGUCUGAGGUGAAAGCCCCGGGCUCAACCUGGGAAUGGCAUUGGAAACUGGCGGGCUUGAGUGUGGCAGAGGGGGGUGGAAUUCCGCGUGUAGCAGUGAAAUGCGUAGAGAUGCGGAGGAACACCGAUGGCGAAGGCAGCCCCCUGGGCUAACACUGACGCUCAGGCACGAAAGCGUGGGGAGCAAACAGGAUUAGAUACCCCAGUAGUC